UACGUAGGGCGCAAGCGUUAUCCGGAAGUUAUUGGGCGUAAAGAGCUCGUAGGCGGUUUGUCGCGUCUGCCGUGAAAGCCCCGGGGCUCAACUCCGGAAUUGCCUUUAAGACUUGCAGUCGCUAGAAUUGGUGGAGAGGUAAGUGGAAUUCCGAGUGUAGAGGUGAAAUUCGUAGAUAUUCGGAAGAACACCAGUGGCGAAGGCGACUUACUGGACACAUAUUGACGCUGAGGUGCGAAAAGCGUGGGGAGCAAACAGG
Molecule: ribosomal RNA, 259 nt
Filed under: uncultured bacterium
Lineage: Bacteria
Description: partial 16S ribosomal RNA
Rfam family: Bacterial small subunit ribosomal RNA
Source: RNAcentral